This 655-nucleotide long non-coding RNA is filed under the name Equus caballus (horse). RNAcentral describes it as "lncRNA (ENSECAG00000050001.1)". The record is from RNAcentral. Lineage: Eukaryota; Metazoa; Chordata; Mammalia; Perissodactyla; Equidae.
CCCCUCCUCCCAUUCUCUUCUUUUUUAAUUUUGUUUUUCACCUGGCUCUGUUCUGAACCAUUGACCCCCUGUGAGGUCACACAAAGGAUUUCCCUGUCUUUGGUUUCCAGUUGUGUCUGUUCAAUGAGGCAUCCCAGCAGCUCAGAGGAGGGAGAGGAAUGAGGCCCAGCAUGCAUUCCCCUGGCUGCCUGCUGCUCAGUUGCCUGGAUUGCUGAAUCCAUCUAUCGAGUCACAGCUCUUCUCAAGAUGUGAACCCUGAUGGUUACAGGUCCAGAUGCUUCAUUUCCAUGGACACGUCAUCCUCUACAACAUCUGAAAGUGAGAAAUUGGAAUUAGUCUCGUUCAAUUGCUUAGCCUUGAAUUUCAGGAGAUAAAUGCAAAGACCUGGCAAUGAUGCAAAGGUGUGUUAAGUUUCCAGUGAUAGGAACAUCGUAUGGAGAAAGGGCAUCCUGAGAGAUGAAUGAGUCUGUUCUCUGCCCCAGCCAGGAUAAUAAUACCUCUAUCAUCCCAUACCCAGAGAAUGUAUCCACUUUCAUAUUUUCUAGGAAAGUGACUUCAACAGCUUCUGAAAGACCCCUGGAGUGCUUAAUACAGUUUUUGCCAGGGAAUUCUCUUCCUUAAAUUGCUUACAUCAUGGAAUAAAAAUGAUCUGGGA